CAUGCCGCGUGAGUGAUGAAGGCCUUAGGGUUGUAAAGCUCUUUUACCAGGGAUGAUAAUGACAGUACCUGGAGAAUAAGCUCCGGCUAACUCCGUGCCAGCAGCCGCGGUAAU
This 114-nucleotide ribosomal RNA is filed under the name uncultured bacterium. RNAcentral's name for it is "partial 16S ribosomal RNA". It matches the Rfam family "Bacterial small subunit ribosomal RNA", at positions 393 to 524 of the family's 1533-position model. The record is from RNAcentral.